Molecule: ribosomal RNA, 391 nt
Filed under: uncultured archaeon
Lineage: Archaea
Description: bacterial SSU rRNA
Rfam family: Archaeal small subunit ribosomal RNA
Source: RNAcentral
UAUUGCUCAGUAACACGUAGCUAACCUACCCUUAAGUGGAGGAUACUCUCGGGAAAGUGAGGUUAAUACUCGAUAGGAGAUGUACCCAGGAAUGAUUCAUCUCUCAAAUUCGUGCUUAAGGAUGGGGCUGCGGCGGAUUAGGUUGUUGGGGGGGUAAAGGCCCACCAACCCAAUGAUCCGUAAGGGCUCUUAGCGGAGAGGCCCUGAGAGGGAAUCUGAGACACUAUUCCCAGCCCUACGGGGUGCAGCAGUUAGGAAUUUUCUGCAAUGUACGAAAGUAUGACAGAUUGAGUCAGAGUGCUUUUCAUAUGAAAAGCUUUUGCCAAAUGUAAAAAGUUUGGCGAAUAAAGACUGGGUAAGACGAGUGCCAGCAGCCGCGGUAAUACAAUAA